Molecule: RNA transcript, 3839 nt
Organism: Dreissena polymorpha
Lineage: Eukaryota; Metazoa; Mollusca; Bivalvia; Myida; Dreissenidae
Exons: 6
Source: RefSeq, a predicted model, not a curated record
AAGCUUCUCACCCUGGCCAGAGAUGGCACACUCCUGGCUACAUACACAGACCCAGCACUACAUGGCCCAUAUGGUCUACAUGUGACCCCUGCAGGCCAGGUGCUGCUGGUCUGUGGAGGCUGGUCCAACACUGUACUACAGGUGGGCUGGGAGGGAGAGAGUAAGCUGGCUACGCUGGCUACUAAGAGGCAUGGAGUGUGGCAGCCAUGGUCAGUCUGCUACAGCAGCACUACAUCAUCCAUCAUUGUGGGACUGUGGGAGGACAACAUCCUGGUGAUCAGAGUGGAAUAGUGUGUACAUUGGCUGCUGAGUCGGGACAAGGAUGCUGAGGAUGUGGGGGACAAGCAUGACGCAGAAGGAGAGCACCAGCAUUGAUAUCGAGUUGGCCAAGCAACAGCACCAGUCCGGCCUGCAGGAGCCCCAAUACAGAACGAUUCUUUCCCUCCCCUGAUCCCUAGCUCCUCCCACUGGACCUCCGGCCUCAAGGUGUCAGCAUUGUUACACAAGUCUACUCUGCAAUAAAUCCUCAGCACGUCAAGUUUUCAUGCGCUGUUAUGAACAACCGAAAUGUCUGUGACAAGAUUUCCCCAAGCAAGCCCGAGUAGUUUUGUUUAGCUCUAGUGCCCGAGUGGGAUGAGUGUUACAGAAGCGAGACGUUAUAGCAGUACUUAUGGUAACGCUAACAGUUAACGCAAACAGUUAGUUCCUGCUGUGGACAUCACGAAGAAUCUCACAAAGAAUUAAACGUUUAAUAAUUUGUUUAAUUCUUUAUAAGACAGCUCUAUAUUCAGCAAGGAACGGGAGCAAAUCAAGGAACAAUUGAAACGAUUCAUUCUGUAUAUUCAUUCUGAAGUAUAUCUGCUGUAGAUAGGACAAUAGUAGCGUAACGGACUGUCCUCAGCGCACAAUAUAUUCAUGUGGUGCGCCUCAGACGCAAAUUCCCCCCAUUAUUGAAAACAAGUUGCUUAAAGUAAACCCGUCCAGUUUUGCACUCCUAGCCCAAAGGGCAUCGCAUUGAAUUAAGACUAAAGAAGGCUUAAAAAGAUGACACCAGUUUUGUUGUAUGCUCCAGUAAGCCCUUUGACUCUCAACCCGAAGUUAUUCAGAACUCAAACUCGGCCCUUAACAAUAUCCGCGAGGCCAGCAUAUCAGCUCAGCUUCUGAGCUUCAGCACCUGCUAAGCAUAGAAGACAAAGGAGUAGUGAAAGGCUCAGCCAAAUCAAAGUCCAGCGAUGUGAGGGUGAGACAGCCUUACCAUGUCCUCGUAUUGCAACAUGAAGGACAUUUUAGCUGAAACUAACAAGGGAGAGGUCUGUAGAUCUGCACCAGCACAGAGCACCAGCAUUGAUAUCAAGUUGACCCAGCAACCGCACAAGUCCCGCCUGCAAGAGACCCAGUCCAGAACCACCUUUCCCCGCCCCUGACUUCUAACUCCUCCCCCUUGACCUCCUAACUCAAAAAGUCAGCAGCGUUGAACAACUCCGUUCUGCAGGAAAUUCUGAGCAUAAUUCUGUUCUGAACAAACGCAAUGCCCACGUGAAGUUGUCCACACAUAAGCCUGGGUAGUUUUGUUAAGCUAGAGUUCCACGUGGGCCUGAAAGGGACGAGUGUUACAGACACGAAAAGUUAAAGAAAAAAAUAGCGGUAGUUAUGGUUACGCUAACAGUCGGUUGUUGCUGUUGGACAUCACAACAAAUAUCAUGAAGAAUAAAAAGUUCAAUAACUUGUUCCAAUCUUUAUGGGACAAACAGAAAUUGAACAGGAGAAAAUCAAGGAACAAUAAAAGCAUAAGCUUUCCUAUGGGAUACUUCGACUGCUGUUGAUAGUUUGGACAACAGUAGGGUUACGGACUGCCCCAGAUUGUCCUCUCAGCGGCCAAAAUAUCAUAAUAGAACAGACUUUUGGCAAUGUUACUAACAAAGAAAGGCAAUAAUGACUUGGUUGUGAAUACCCAGAGCACGAUACAUCCAUGCUGACAAAGAAAGGCGGUAAUGACUUGGUUGUGAAUAUGCAGAGCGCGAUACAUCCAUGCUGACACAUAAAGGCAGUAAUGACUUGGUUGUGAACACCCAGAGCACGAUACAUCCGUGCUGACACAGAAAGGCAGUAAUGACUUGGUUGUGAACACCCAGAGCACAAUACAUCCAUGCUGACACAGAAAGGAAGUAAUGACUUGGUUGUGAACACCCAGAUCAAGAUAUAUCCAUGCUGACACAGAAAGGCAGUAAUAACUAUGCUGUGAAUACCCAGAGCAAGAUAUAUCCAUGCUGACACAGAAAGGCAGUAAUGACUAUGCUGUGAACACCCACAGCACAAUACAUCCAUGCUGACGCAGAAAGGCAGUAAUGACUUGGUUGUGAACACCCAGAGCAAGAUAUAUCUAUGCUGACACAGAAAGGAAGUAAGGACUAUGCUGUGAACACCCAGAGCAAGAUAUAUCCAUGCUGACACAGAAAGUUUGUAAUGACUAUGCUGUGAACACCCGGAGCACAAUACAUCCAUGCUGACACAGAAAGGCAGUAAUGACUUGGUUGUGAACACCCAGAGCACAAUACAUCCAUGCUGACACAGAAAGGCAGUAAUGACUUGGCUGUGAACAUAGAACACAAUACACCCAUGCUGACACAAAAAGGCAGUAAUGACUUGGCUGUGAAAACAGAGCACAAUACAUUCAUGCUGAAACAGAAAGGCAGUCAUGACUAUGCUGUGAACACCCAGAGAACGAUAUAUUGAUGCUGACGCAGAAAAGCAGUAAUGAUUAUGCUGUGAACACCCAGAGCAAGAUAUAUCCAUGCUGACACAGAAAGGCAUUAAUGACUAUGCAGUGAACACCCAGAGCAAGAUAUAUCCAUGCUGACACAGAAAGGCAGUAAUGACUAUGCUGUGAACAACCAGACCACAAAACAUCCAUGCUGACACAGAAAGGCAGUAAUGACUUGGUUGUGAACACCCAGAGCAAGAUAUAUCCAUGCUGACACAGAAAGGCAGUAAUGAUUGGCUGUGAACACAGAACACGAUACACCCAUGCUGAAACAGAAAGGCAGUGAUGACUUGGCUGUGAACACAGAACACGAUACACCCAUGCUGACACAGAAAGGCAGUAAUGACUUGGCUGUGAACACAGAACACAAUACAUCCAUGCUGACACAGAAAGGCAGUAAUGACUUGGCUGUGAACACAGACCACAAUACAUCCAUGCUGACAAAGAAAGGCAGUUAUGACUUGGUUGUGAACACAGAGCACAAUACAUCCUUGUUGACACAGAAAGGUAGUUAUGACUUUGCUGUGAACUCAGAGCACGAUACAUCCAUGCUGACACAGAAAGGCAGUUAUGACUUGGAUGUAAAUACCCAGAGCACAAUACAUCCAUGCUGACACAGAAAGGCAGUAAAGACUUUGUUGUAAACACUAAGAGAUCCAUAUAUCCAUGGGGUGUGCCACAGACGCAAAUUACGCCCACUAUUGUGAACAAGGUGCUUAAAGUGAACAUGUUUGGUUUUGUUAUGAGCACUUAGCACUCCGAGCCCAAAAGGCCUCGCAUUGAAUUGAUGCAAGAAAAGGCUUUGAAAAAUAACAGCAGUUUUGUUGUGUGGUCCAGUACGCCCUUUGACUUGCAACCUGAAUAAAGCAGAACUAGAACUCGGCUCUUAGCAAUAUCAGCAAGAUCAGCAUGUCAUCUUAGCUUCUUGAGCACAGUGAACUUUACUAGCAAACAUGACAAACGUCAUUGAAAUGAAAGUCGAUGACAACCCCCUUCUUGCACAAAUACUACAACUUGCUUAAGAAAAUAAGCAUGAAGACGUCUUGCGUCAGACUACCAAGCCUCCUAUCAAUAUAUC